This 186-nucleotide unclassified non-coding RNA is filed under the name uncultured Nectriaceae. RNAcentral describes it as "sequence contains ITS1". The record is from RNAcentral. Lineage: Eukaryota; Fungi; Ascomycota; Sordariomycetes; Hypocreales; Nectriaceae.
UAGAGUUGUAAAACUCCCAAACCCAUGUGAACAUACCUCUGUUGCCUCGGCGGCCUGCCCGGCGGCUACCCUGUAGCAGCCCCGCGGUCCGCCGAAGGACUACAAAACUCUUUUGUAUGUCCCUCGCGGACUUUUAUAAUUCUGAACCAUCUCGGCGCCCCUUGCGGGCGUUUCGAAAAUGAAUCA